Molecule: ribosomal RNA, 429 nt
Filed under: Carrhotus xanthogramma
Lineage: Eukaryota; Metazoa; Arthropoda; Arachnida; Araneae; Salticidae
Description: partial 16S ribosomal RNA
Source: RNAcentral
UUCUAUUAGAAUAUUCAUUAAUAGUAAAAUCUGCUCAAUGAAUAUUAAAUAGCCGCAAUUUCGUGCUAAGGUAGCAUAAUCAUUUGUCUUUUAAAUGAAGACUAGAACAAAAGAUUUAACAUUUUAGCUUAUUUCUUUUUUAAUAUAUUAAAUUUAUCUUAAAAGUAAAAAGACUUUUAUUUAUUAGAAAGACGACAAGACCCUAUUGAACUUUACUUAAGUUUUACUGGGGCAGUAAAUUAAUUAUAAUUUUAAUUUAAAUAAAUAUUUAUUAAUCCAAAUAAUUGAUAAUUCAGUUACCAUAGGGAUAACAGCAUAAUUAAUUUUAAAAGAACUUAUUAAAAAAAUAGAUUGUGACCUCGAUGUUGAAUUAAUAACCUAAUUGAAGCAAAAGUUAAAUAAGGAAGUCUGUUCGACUUUUAAAAAAUU